RNAcentral lists this long non-coding RNA (4153 nucleotides) under Panax ginseng (ginseng). RNAcentral describes it as "long non-coding RNA (PGIN_LNC002003)". The record is from RNAcentral. Lineage: Eukaryota; Viridiplantae; Streptophyta; Magnoliopsida; Apiales; Araliaceae.
CUCCUCGGCCCCUACCUCCGCUACGGCCACCGCCUCCUCUAACGCUGGCAAAACCACCACCUCCGCCCCUACCUCCGCUACGGCCGCCGCGUACUGGGGGUCUCAUGUUAGGGUUUGAGAGGGAGACAAGGAGUUGGAUAGCUUAGCUUUAUAGGGAGGGUUUACUGGUUUAGGGUUCGAAUUUGUAUUUUAUUUUAAACAUAUUUGUUAGUUAGGAUACCGUGACGGUGCUGUGACCGCCAAUUGUGAACUACUAAGUGUACAAUGUGACAAUCACUUCAGAGAAACAGUUGGGUAUAUAAUUUCUACCGUAUUCCUUUUGAUAAAGAGUACUUGAAUAAUUAAUAUUAAUUUUAGACUUUCCAAAAUACAACUAUAAAAAAUAAUACCUCUUUUAAAAUAGAAGAUCAUCUGAAGUUGACUUAAUUUUUUAAUAUUAUUUUUAGUGAUCCUAAUUUUUAUCUUAAUAGCAUCAACCAUUUAUUAACAUAUUUUAUAAAAUAAUUAGUGUAGUUGAGCUGUGGAGGAAAUAAUUGGUUUGUGCAAGAUGAAGAUGGUAUACAAAAGAACUCGCAUCACAUUCUCAAUUCAGCAAAACCUUGUCAAAAUAUCCCCUACAAUCCAAAGAAACUGAAGAUGAAAGACUUCAGUAUAAAACCACAACAUAAUAAUAAAUAGACUGAGAUUCCAAAUAACUACAAGCCAACACUAUCUAGGCAGCAGCAGCUUUUUGUUUCUUUGGCACACGGUAUGCACCAACAACACAUGCAUGGUCUCUCUCAAAGGGUUCAAGGGUGACCUGCUCACUAGGCUUGAAUUGAUCUGCUUGUAGUUUCUUCACUUCCUGAGCAAAGACGGCCUCAGCCGGAACAGUCGAGUCUAUGCAGUUUGCCUGUAAAUUUCAGACAACAGGAGUUAAAUCCCGAGAAAACCUGGUUGGUAGCUUCUUUUUAAAUUAUGCACAAUGUACAUGUGUAGCCCACACUAAAAAAAUAACCUUUACACAUGACACCUAUAAAUACUCUUGACAACAAUUAUAUUUCAGCAUUUCAUUUAUUAAAAUUCCAACACUAAGAUGCAAACCUUGAUUGAUAUAACAAAAUGACCUCCAGCUUUCAAGAAGUACGAUGCAUUCAAAGCCAAAAUUCUUGCCUGCAAAUAUAGCAAUCAAAGAACUGUUUACACAUUUUUUAUAUAAAAAAAAUGUCAAAAACCAUGAAAACAAAAGGAUGAAAUCUUGCAGAUACGAAACAUGCAAUCUCUGAGAACUUUAACUACAAGAUCAAAAGAUGGUAUGUAUCAGUCGGCCUUAUAUUUUCGUUACAGAGAAAGGAGUUUUCAUUGAUACACCACGAUCAAAAAAUCAAAUCAUCAGAAAACUCUAACUGCACAAUUCAAAAAAUAACUUACUAGCAGCAUAAAGAAAAUAAUUUCAAAUUGGAACACAUGCUUGCACAGGUAACCAACUAAUUCCACAGGCUCCACGCAAGAAUCCAACAAAAUUCAUUCACCUCCAACUUGGGCUAUUUAUUAAAAGUUGUUAUAAGAAAACAUAUAAAAUUGAAAAAAAAAUGGUGCCAACAAGUACGCGACAACAAAUGUGACUCAUAUUUAAAAGCAGAUAGGGCUAGUCAAACUUUAAAAUAUUUAAACAUGCAUCAGAAACUCGGUUUUGCAUCAUCCAUGAUGUCCUGAAGGGGAAUCCGAGUAACUCAUCAUCAGCUUGCUGAAAUAAAUAGAAGUACUCCUCAACUAAUUAUGCAGAGACAUAGCAGAAAAGUUGCAUAAACCUGGACCCAGUCAACCUUCAUGAACUAUGGCAAUGAAAGAAUUUCUAGAAACAAGGAGAAACAAUUCUAGAUUUUCAUAAAUGCAUCAGAAAAAGGAGCAACUCUUGUCAAAAUAAAAUAGAUUUUCAUAAAUGCAUCAGAAACUCGGUUUUGCAUCACCCAUGAUGUCCUGAAGGGGAAUCCGAGUAACUCAUCAUCUGCUCGUUGGUAAUGUUUUGUUAUGUACAAACAUAUAAAUACAUAUACUGAUAUACAUAUAUAUAUAUAUAUAACAUAAAAACAUCAACUUUGAUGUCUUAAAUUUAAAGACCAUAUGUAUGCAAGAGAAAAUUAGUUUUAAAAAAAUGGAAGAAGUGAAAAGAAGACCAAUCAAAAGCAAAAAAAAUAAAGGUAUGAAGAUGAAUAAAAUAAAGCCCUAAGGUUUAAAUACAAAAUGGAAUGCAUUAGUUCUAUGCAUGCCAACACAAUUGAAAUAAACAGUAAAGAUGUUCUAAAAAUCAAUUGAAAUCACUUGGUAUUGAUAUAAUGAAAAUUAGCCUAAAUAACAUUUUGGACAUUCCACCUUUCCAGCGAGGAACUAGUUACUGUAGCUUAAAUCUCAAAUAAAGUAAUUCCGACUUUGAGGGAAGAAUUAAACUCGUGAAAAAAUAAAGAUGUUAAAAAUGGUUAAAAGACAAAAACUACUUUACAUUAAAACCCAACAAUAAAUACAAUUAUAAAAUAACAUGUAUGAAAGCAAAUCCUCCAAUCCUUAGAAAUAACAGAUGUAAUAUAUUUAACAAAAGCAAACCUGAUCAGGCUGAGCAACAUCAGAAAAUAUCACAUCAACCAUCCCAACAAGCAUACGAUACUUGGCUGGAUGCCUAGCAUCCUCAAUAAUAGGUAUAACAUUAGUUCGCUUCUUUGCCAUGUUAACCAAGUCCCUACCACUUCUGUGAGAAAAUUCAACAGCAUAGACUACUCCAGACUACAAUUAUUGAGAGUGUGUAUUAUUAGUACAUGCAUCUCAUUAGUAAAACAAAGCACAGAAUUGGGUUAAGUUUAAUUUGGACUACUUACAGGGCCAACAAGAUCAGACACAUGAGAGACGGUUGUUCCAGAAGCAGCUCCAAGAUACAGAACCCGAGCACCAGGUUUCUUUAUCCAAUAAGAUGAGACAAUUAGAAACCAACAUACAUAAUAAUAGCAAAACACAGACUGCAAACUCAACCAUAACCAAAUAUGUAUUAGGACAAAAAACAAACACUUACUAUCCAGAUGUUGUCAACUCCUCCAAGAAUGGCAGCCGCCAACUUAGAACGGAAGGGAUUCCAUACCCUGUACUCAACCUUAGUUCCAUCUUCAUUCUGUUGGGAAAAAACAAAAAAGUAAAUCAGUACCAGAACCUUUACAGAUGUAAUUAAUUAAGUGGUCUCAAACAAAUGACAGAUUAAUACAUUAUUCAAAAGAGAUAUCUUGUGUGGCAUUGAGCUAUCUUAAACAAUGUUAAACAAGUUUCUGUAAAAAUCUUUUAUUUAACAAUCUAUCAGAUACAGUUGAAUAGCUACAACCAUAUGGGAAACCUGAAACAGGCAUGAUUAGCCAAAAAAAUAAAUUUCACUCUAUUAGAAACUCAAUGCCACAAUCAAAUAAAAACAAGAAAUGAUACGACUGGCAUUGAAAAAUAAAAAAAAUGUCAGAAUUUUUUAAUAUUAAAAAUAAUUUGAAGCAAUUGAAUAAUAUGCAACAAAGGAACAAGUAUAGAUUGCCAAUUACAAAUUAAGUAAACAUGUACCAAUACUUGGAGGCUACCAGCAACCAAUUAACUAUACAUCAAAUAAAUGAGUAAGAACUCUGCAACUUGGUAAAACCAAAACUUAAAAGCAACUUAAACAAUUAACAGGGAUUACAAAUGAACAAAUCUAAAUGUGCUUAUUAAAGAAACAUGUUCUACCAAAAAUGCUUACAAAUAAACACAUCUAAAUGUGCUUUCUAUUACCACAUAUCAUGACAAGCUCAAGAUUAAAUUCACACAUGUCUCCAAUUCCCAAAAAUGUUCCGCAUAAUUUCAACCACAAAAAAAAAGAUAAAAAAAAUACUCACUGUAUUCAGUACAUUAAAAACGCAACAACUUAAACCUUUGCUUACCCACUAACUUCAAAUGAUUAUACAACAAAAUUAACUUAUCAACACAAACACAAAAUCAGAACUUUAAUUAAAUUAAUAAGUUUCAACGAAGAUACCUGAACGGAUACCCUCUUCUCAUUGUACACAGCUUCACCAGGAACCAUGUUCUUAGUACAAAGAGCAUCUUCUUUUCCCUUAGCAAUAAACACACCUUCGUGUCUAUGAGGCUCAACCACAACUUUGCUACCACCUUUCAU